UUGGGCUUAAAAGACAUUUACAACAGGGAAAUUAUCUUGUUGAUGGGUAUUUCUACUAUUAUAAGAUACAAUUCUCCCUAGCUUUGCUAAAUUAUGCCUUUGCGUAAUUUUUUACUAUGGACUUUCCAAUUCCUGCAGAUUGUUCAAGAAUCAAGUUCUAGCACUACUGGUAAUAUUUGCAUCAGACCAUUUGCACUGUGAAUGACCACCUAAGUUAACUGCAUAAACUACUAGCAAUAAUUAGAGUUAUAGUUUUAAUUGUAGUAUAAUUUUAAAGUAGUCACUAAUUAUAAUUAGUGUGCAAGCCAUUAGUUAGAACUCUACAUAAUAGGAAUAAAAUUACUAAAUUAUUAUUUGAGCUUAUUAUGUUUCCUGAACCAUUAGUAUCAUAGUAGUAACAUAUCAUAGCUAACUACAAAAGAAAUGUUCACCAGAACAAUCCAAAUGUACAAGUAACAUAUUAAACCAAUCUAAUACUUAAUGAGGGUGAACUAUGCCUCUGUUUUCAUCCUACUCCAGAAGUUCAGGCUAGGAUACUCUGUAUUUUUGAGGCAUGUGAUUCCCUUAUUUUCUGCAUGGGAACUCACCCUUCCAUCUCCCACACAUUCCAACCCCUACUGGUCCCAGCAAGCAUUGGAGACUCCCAUGUCAUUUAUUCCAAGACUCUCUUAUAGUGCCCUGCUCCUCCCCUACAGUAAUCCCACCUCCUCGCUGCAGCCAAUAGGGGUUUUCACCUCCUCCCAGGGGGCUGCAGAGGAGCAUGCUCAACAGAGACUAGAAACAUGGAGGAGUCAACUUUGCAGCUCCCAAGAUGACAAGUCAGGUCUGCUCCUACUGCUGUUGGACUUCAGAAAAGAAUACAGAGGCUGGAAUAUCCAGCAUGAUUACAGAGCAACAUGCAGGUGAGUAGGAACUGUAUAGAAUUAGAAAAAAUGAGUAACACAGCAUUCCAGCAGAACAGCUGAUACUACAGAGCUGUCAAGAUUAUUAAAAAAUUAUGUUGACAUUCUAAUGUCACGUUUUUUUCACAAUAUAAAAAAGUUUUUGUGCAAAAAUCAAGGAAAACCAACAAAAAUAUAUUAUUUAUCAGGAUUCAAGAGAAAAG
This 1105-nucleotide long non-coding RNA is filed under the name Anser brachyrhynchus (Pink-footed goose). RNAcentral describes it as "lncRNA (ENSABRG00000017283.1)". The record is from RNAcentral. Lineage: Eukaryota; Metazoa; Chordata; Aves; Anseriformes; Anatidae.